UCAUUAUAUAAGUUAUCGUUUAUUUGAUAGUACCUUACUACUUGGAUAACCGUGGUAAUUCUAGAGCUAAUACAUGCUAAAAAUCCCGACUUCGGAAGGGAUGUAUUUAUUAGAUUAAAAACCAAUGCCCUCUGGGCUCCUUGGUGAUUCAUAAUAACUUUUCGAAUCGCAUGGCCUUGCGCCGGCGAUGGUUCAUUCAAAUUUCUUCCCUAUCAACUUUCGAUGUUUGGGUAUUGGCCAAACAUGGUCGCAACGGGUAACGGAGGGUUAGGGCUCGACCCCGGAGAAGGAGCCUGAGAAACGGCUACUACAUCCAAGGAAGGCAGCAGGCGCGCAAAUUACCCAAUCCCGAUUCGGGGAGGUAGUGACAAUAAAUACUGAUACAGGGCUCUUUUGGGUCUUGUAAUUGGAAUGAGUACAAUUUAAAUCCCUUAACGAGGAACAAUUGGAGGGCAAGUCUGGUGCCAGCAGCCGCGGUAAUUCCAGCUCCAAUAGCGUAUAUUAAAGUUGUUGUGGUUAAAAAGCUCGUAGUUGAACCUUGGGCCUGGCUGGCCGGUCCGCCUCACCGCGUGUACUGGUCCGGCCGGGCCUUUCCCUCUGUGGAACCUCAUGCCCUUCACUGGGUGUGGCGGGGAAACAGGACUUUUACUUUGAAAAAAUUAGAGUGCUCCAGGCAGGCCUAUGCUCGAAUACAUUAGCAUGGAAUAAUGAAAUAGGACGUGUGGUUCUAUUUUGUUGGUUUCUAGGACCGCCGUAAUGAUUAAUAGGGACAGUCGGGGGCAUCAGUAUUCAAUUGUCAGAGGUGAAAUUCUUGGAUUUAUUGAAGACUAACUACUGCGAAAGCAUUUGCCAAGGAUGUUUUCAUUAAUCAGGAACGAAAGUUAGGGGAUCGAAGACGAUCAGAUACCGUCGUAGUCUUAACCAUAAACUAUGCCGACUAGGGAUCGGACGAUGUUAUUUUUUGACGCGUUCGGCACCUUACGAGAAAU
RNAcentral lists this ribosomal RNA (989 nucleotides) under Samsoniella hepiali. RNAcentral describes it as "SSU rRNA". It matches the Rfam family "Eukaryotic small subunit ribosomal RNA", at positions 98 to 1098 of the family's 1831-position model. Lineage: Eukaryota; Fungi; Ascomycota; Sordariomycetes; Hypocreales; Cordycipitaceae. The record is from RNAcentral.